Molecule: ribosomal RNA, 160 nt
Filed under: Acinetobacter baumannii
Lineage: Bacteria; Pseudomonadati; Pseudomonadota; Gammaproteobacteria; Moraxellales; Moraxellaceae
Description: partial 16S ribosomal RNA
Rfam family: Bacterial small subunit ribosomal RNA
Source: RNAcentral
UUUAACUGAAGAGUUUGAUCAUGGCUCAGAUUGAACGCUGGCGGCAGGCUUAACACAUGCAAGUCGAGCGGGGGAAGGUAGCUUGCUACCGGACCUAGCGGCGGACGGGUGAGUAAUGCUUAGGAAUCUGCCUAUUAGUGGGGGACAACAUCUCGAAAGG